This 7961-nucleotide long non-coding RNA is filed under the name Homo sapiens (human). RNAcentral's name for it is "HSALNT0343944". Lineage: Eukaryota; Metazoa; Chordata; Mammalia; Primates; Hominidae. The record is from RNAcentral.
AGGGACUGGAGAGAGGGAAGAAUGAGAAGUGACUACUUCAUGGAUACAAGGUUUUCUCUGGGGGUGAUGAAAAUAUUUUGACAUCUGAUAAAGGUGGUGGUAGUACAGCACUGUGAAUGUACCAAUUGCCACUGAAUUGUGCAUUUUAAAGUGAUUGAUUUUAUGUGGAACAAAUUUCACUUUAAUUAUAAAAAGUGAAUAAACUUUUAGAAGCUAACCUUGGAAGAAGGUAGAGACUGGAAGGGAUCACAAGAAAGGCUUCUGGGAUGUUGGAAAACAGAUGGAAUCAUGUUACAGGAGAAUCCAAAGCAGAUGGGACGAAGGAAAAAAGAAGCAGAAUAUGCAAAGGAGACACAAGCAAUUUCAGAGCAGGAGGACAACCUUAGCUCUUUGGGAUGAAAAUGAAGAACAGCUGAGACAGUCACGCCUCUUCUCUUAAAAAUAGCUAAUAAACAUAUGAAACCAUAUCAAAUUUUCAUCAUACUUGGAGAAAUCUAAAGUAAAACUAGAUGCCAUUUAUCACCUCCUAAAUUGUUGACAUUGAAAAAAUAUGUUUAAUAGUGUUAGAGAGAAUUCAUUCAUUCACAGUACUAAUGUAAAUUGGCACACACUUUAGAGAGCUAUUUAAUGAUAUGGAUCUAAAAUGAGUGUUGUGUUCUUUACCUUGGCCAAUUACUUUAAUUGAACAUUAUAAACAGAUUUAAAGAAGUUUGCAAAGAACCAGACAUGAGUUAGUCACUUGUAAAUUUUAUAUAGUAGUAAAAAAUAUAUUUAAAAAUAUUAUUUACCAUAGGGGACUAGUUAAACAAAUGAUGGAGAAUCCAUCUAAUAAGAUCUGUUUCUUGCAUAUCAUUCAAGCUUAAUAAUAGAAUACUGUCAUUUCCAGAUAGCCAUCUUAUUUUAUUUUUGAGAAAUUGUCAUGUUAAAAUUUAUAAUUUCUAACAUGCACAGAUACUAAGCAUUGAAAAAGAGGUAGGAAUAUCGGAACAAUUCUAACGGUUUUUCAUCCCUUGCUCAGAAAUGACAGAAAAUGUUGUGAUAAUAAUAACAAGGCUAAGAACAUAUAUGGAGUUAUGCCAUACUUAUGCCAUCAUUAAUUUAUAUAAUACUUUAACAAUAUUCUGAUGUUGGUACAUGCAUUCUUAACUGUGUCAUAGAGUAAAAAAUGUGGCUAUUUAGUAUAAUAUCAAUUGUGUGUAAAUUGGAUGGAACUGGAUUAAUAGAGAAAUAAAAACAGUUGAAAAUACAAAAAGAAAACCCAAAGUCUUCAUCAUAGACAAGAAAAAUCUCCACUCCAUAUUCAGCAAACAUAAAUGUAAAUGGCAAAGUAAAACAGGAAGUUCUUUAGCAACCUUCGAGAAAGUAAAUAAAAUAAAGAAUACCUGGGGCAGCUGGAAUAUACAAAUAUAUAUAUACACACACAUACACACACACAUACACAUAUACACAUAUAUACAUAUACAUACACAUAUAUAUGUAUAUAUGUGUAUAUAUAUACACACACACAUCUGUAUCUUACAGAUUAAAAUCUUGUGAGCCCCUUACCAGUCAGGUAGAACUCAUGUCCCUGAGAACUUUCCUAACUUUUAUAGCAAUAGGGCUUAAAAUAGGUAAAAAAUAGCUGUGAAAAAGAGUGAGCUUGACAUUCCAUAUAUAGGAAGUUGACUUUAUGACAUUAUUCCCUAUCCAUAGUCAAAUUAUGCAAAGUGUUUAAUCCCAGGCAAAGAACCUGAGUCUUUUUUCUCUGUUUAAAGAAAAGUAAGUUGUCAAAAAAGACUAUGGCAAAUAACUAUGGACGAUUGCACCACAGAGUGAAGCCCUUCUCAUUCUGCCAAAUUAUAGGUCUCUCAUCACUCAGAUAAGACAAAGCUUUUCAUGUCUCAAAACAAGCCUGCAUUUAGAGAGAUUCUGACCAACUCUAUUAUUUAUUUGCUCUAAAACUAAAGUAACAUAAAAUGAAGAAGUUGAAAUGAAUAAUCACAGUAUACUUAACAAAAGCCUGGAAUGUAAAAGAAAAUGAUUGAGGUUAAAAUAUUAGGGGACAGAAAAAGGAAAGUAAGCAAUAAUUUGAAGGAAACGAAGAUGAUUCAGUGCAGAAAAUAAGCUUUAAAACUUUUUAAAAAAUUAAUUGGAACCCAUAAGGUCGAGACAGCUCCAGUGUUCUGUGCUCCUAGGUAAACAAACAAAAACCCAACUUGGAGUAGCUUAACCAAUCAGAAACUUUCAAUUAACAUCUAACUGAAGAAGGCUACUGUUCCACUUUAACCAAUCAAAUAUUUUCUCUGUCUGGCUUUUGAGAACACUUUGUACAAUUUUUCCCCUUGUGCACUUUCAGGGGAGCCCUGACCCACUUGUGCUCUAGUGCUGCCCAGUUUGUGAAUUGACGUUAUGCUCAAAGAAACUCUUUAAGAUUUUAAUGUGCCUAAGUUUAUGUUUUAACAAGACAAUGAAACAAGAAAAACAAAAUAUUAAGUACAAUAUUCUAUAAAAGUAAAAAAAGCCUUAUUUAAACAACAACAAAUAAAAUAUUGAAAAGGAAUAAGUAUAGCACAAGAAAUAAUUGUUUAAACAAUAUAAUUGAAGAUAAUAUACAAAUAAAUGGAAUAUCACCUAGAUGUCAACUAUUUAUCUCAAAUAUACAAGCAAAAUCAAAAGUGAUAGAGAUCAAGAGGAAAAUAAAAUAAUCAUAUAAGCUUAACCAAAGUCAUAGGGGUAACUUUCCAUGAAUAACUAAAAUAAUAUAAAAGACAGGAAAUAAUCAGAUAUAAUAAUAGCAGAACGUUCCAAAAACUCAAGGUAUAUGCCUGUGCUUCAAUUCAAAGGGUCAGAUUAGAAUGAAGAAAGAAAAAAGAAACAAAAUCCCAAACCAAAUUUUUUUUUGAAAUUUUAAAUCAAAGACAAAUGGAAUAAUUAAAAGCUCCCACAGAAAAUGAAUAUCUAAAAUAAUCCCAAGCAAAGAAAUGAAAGAUAAUGAAAAUGAAAUCAAGUUUCUCAACAAUGUCAUUUAAUGCAGGGAUUAUAUAUAAAAAGAAUACUUUAAAUAAAAAUUUAUUUUGAAUCAGGAAUCCAGCAUCAGUUGGGAGGUUCAAGAUGACUGCGUAGAAGCCGCUAGUGUGCACCAAUCUCAUGGAGAAGAAACAAAGUGGAGAGUAAAGAGCAGUGCUUCAAGAGAAUCAUCUAAGGGACUUUGUCAGAAUCCACCAUGGAAUGGGGGAACCCACAGAAAACAGAGAGAAGUUAGGCAGUCACUGACCUGAAACCAGCGUGGGGCCAGGAGAAACUCUCUAACAUGGGGAAAGGAUGAGUAAGUGAGAGUCCCCAAGAAAUCUGCACUUCCCACAUGCACCUUCACAAUCCUGGGUAUGAGCAAACCUCCCAACCCCCAUCCCCUAGGCCUCUAGACCAACACAAAGGGCCUCCUGGCAUUUUUUUUUUUUUUUUGAGACGUUAUCUCACUGGGUCACCCAGGCUGGAGUGCAACGGCGUGGUCUCCGCUCACUGCAACCUCCGCCUCCUGGGUUCAAGUGAUUCUCCCACCUCAGCCUCCCAAGUAGCUGAGACAACAGGUGUGUGUCACCACACCCGGCUAAUUCUUGUAUCUUUAGUAGAAAUGGGGUUUCACUGUGUUGGCCAGACUGGUCUCAAACUCCAGACUUUGUGAUCCGCCUCCUCGAGCUCCCAAAGUGCUGGGAUUACAGGCGUGAGUCACCACAUCUGGCCCCUCUGGCAUUUUUUGCAUAGGCACCACUCAAGCUUAUGUGGAGCCCACAGGACUUGGAUCCCCGAGCAGCCUGACACCAGCUUCCACAGCCCCAGUAGAGGCUGUAGUCAUGGUGCAGAGGAGUGGUCACAAUGCCCUGCUCUUCCUUGCUCAGACUUCCACUGCAGUGACUUUGCGCCCACCUAAAUUCUGCUGGUGGGCACAGCACAGCAUUCCCCUGGAGAAACUUACAGAUGACAAACUGUGAGACUUCUGUCCCACUUCUGAGUCAGGCAAGGCUAGGCUCAGGUUUCCAGCUCAGCAGUCCCACCCCUUUGUGAACAUUGCGGUGGGUGAUGACUCUGCAUUCCCGUGGGACAAAACUCCCAGACAUAACAGACAAUGCUUGGCACCUUCAAGUGAUCCCAACAGUGAAGUUCGUCAUCAUUUGGAUGGGAGAGAAGUGCAAGUGUGUCACAUGUCCCAUAGCUGCUAGUCUUCAUUAUGCAGCUGAGGAUUUCUGCCCUCUCCAGUGAAAGGCCCAUAGAACAACCACCUGGCUGAACAUUUAACAUGUAGAAUUUUCUUAAAUUCCCAAUACCUCAGAAUUCCACUUGCCCCUGCCUGAGACGUUGGUUGAUGACCCGGGGACUAGCUCACCUGCCCCCACAACACAGCCAGCUCCUGAACUUGGGGCUAGCCUGACCCCAAUCCAGCCCCUUUAUGACUCAUACAUGCUGUCCAGCAAGCCAUGUAGGAGCCUGGGAACUGGAGAACUACCUACCCCAUCCUAAGUCUGCUGGCACCUGACCACAUUUCUCAGGGCCUGAGGUUAGACCAACCCAAGCAGCUGACACCACCACAACCAACACCCAUUCACAUGGGUCCAAAGGUGGAUCCCCCUCCCUGCACUUCACAAAAAGCAACAGUACUGCCACAUUGGAGAACAGGUGAGAUUUAAACCUAUCUGUAUCGAGUUGAGUGAUGAGAUUAUGUUCUAAAAUCACUCCCACAGAGAGCUGCAAAAUAGGCAUUUCCUGUGGCUCUCAAUCACCUUAUGGGCCAGAGAUAGACUAUAAUGUGUGUCUGAACUGGGAGUUAUGAGCCUUGAAACAAAGGUGUGAUAGGGAAACAGAUUGUAUUGCUGCCUAUCUAGAAUAGGAAGCCAGUGCAGCCUCCUCACUCCUCCUGCAGAGACCUCAGCACAUUUCACCAGGAGCUCACCCCCAGUCACCCUUGUUAGGGCUGGUGCCUGCAUUCUCCAUUGGGAUAUUCAUGGGCAAACCAGGGGCUCCAGCUCCCUAACCACCACCCCCAUGGGACAGGAAGCUCAGGACACAGGGCAUCCCACUGUCCAACCCUUCACCUGAAAUAACAGAAGGUGCCUCAUAUAAAACAAAGAUCAGAUCAAUACCCAACUUCUCGUACGGCAGCUGGCUCUUAUCUGCAAAUAUCAUCUACUGGCCUGUAGGUCAAACUGCACAGCCCAAUACAAAACCUGCUGAUAGAAGUGCAUAGGACUACAAAAGCAAAGUUAAAAGACCCAACCCAACAGAACCCUCUCCAGAUGAGAAGGAAUUAGCAUAAGAAUUCUACCACCAUUAAAAAUCUGAACUUAUGACCACCAAAGGCUCACUCUAGCUCUGCAGCAAUGGUCCCUAGUCUAAAUGGAGGCAUAAGAUGUCAGAUGGAGAAUUCAAAGCAUGAAUUCCAGGAAAACUGAACAAUAUCCAAGAUAAGCUUGAAAAUAAACACAAAGAAACCUGUAAAACAAUUCAGGAAGUAAAGGAAGAGGUAAAGAUCUUAUAAAGAAAGCAUUCAGCGCUACCAGAACUGAAUAACUCGCUUAAGGAACUUCAAAAUGCAAUUGAAAGUUUUAUCAAUAGACUAAAUCAAGCAGAAUAAAGAAUUUUAGAAAUUGAAAAUUGUCUUUCAAACUAAACCAGUCAGAAAAAAAUAAAGAACUAAGAAUUUUAAAACUUGAACAAGGUAUCCAGGAAAUAUGGGAUUAUGUAAAGCAACCAAACCUAAGAAUUAUUGGCACUACAGGGAGAGAGCAAGAUAAAAAGUAAGCAAUCCAAAAAAUGUACUUGAGAGAAUAAUUUUUAAAAAUUUUCCUAACUUUGCUGGAGAGGUAGACACCCAGAUACAAGAAAUUCAGAUAACGCUUACUAGAUACUAUACAAAACAAACAUCACCAAAGCAUGUAGUCACUCAGCUGUCUAAGGUCAAAAUGAAAUUUUAAAAAAUCUUAAAAGCAGCUAGAGAAAAAGAUCAGACUGCAUAAAAAGGGAACCCCAUCAGGCUAACAGCAUACUUCUCAGCAGAAACCCUGCAAGCCAGAAGACCUUUUGGGGGACCUAUUUUCUGCAUCCUCAAAGAACUUCAACCAUGAAUUUCAUACCCUGCCAAACUAAGCUUCAUAAGUGAAGGAGAAAUAAAAUCUUUUUCAGACAGGCAAUCACUAAAGGAAUUCAUUACCACUAAACCAGUCUUACAAGAGAUCAUUAAAGGAGUUCUAAACAUGGAGAUGAAAGAACAAUGUCCACUACCACAAAAUCACAGCUAAGCGCAUAGCCCACAAACACUUUAAAGCAACUACACAAUAGGAAACACAAAAUAAACAGCUAACAAGUUUAUGACAGAAUCAAAAUCUUACAUAUCAAUAUUAACCUUUAAUGUAAAUGGUCUUAACACCCUACUUAAAAGGCACAAAGUGAAACAUUGGAUAAGAAAACUAGACCCAUCCAUCUGCUGUCUUCAAGAAACCAAGCUCACAUUUUUUUUUUCAUCUGCACAUGGUACAUACUCUAAGACUGACCACAUGCUUUGCUGUAAAACAAGUCUCAGAAAAUUCAAAAUAUAUUCAUACCUACUAUAUUUUGAAACCACAGUGGAAUAAAAAUACAAAUCAAUACCAGGAUCUCUUAAAACUAUAAUAACAUGGAAAUUACACAACUUGCUCAUUUGAGUAAACAACAAAAUUAAGGCAGAAAAUUUUUUAAUAACUUAGAAAUAAAUAAAAACAGAGGAACACCUACAGAAAUCUCUGGGACACAGCUAAUGCAGUGUUACGAGGAAAGUUUAUAGCACUGAAUGCCUAUUUCAAGAAGUUAGAAAUACCUAAAAUUAGCAAUCUAAUGGAGGAAUGGGAAACACAAGAACAAACCAAUCACAAAGCUAGCAGAGUAUAAGAAUCAACCAAAAUCAGAGCAGAACUGAAUGAGAUUGAGAUCCCAAAAUACAUAAAAAGCAUCAAUGAAGCCAAAAGCUUUUUGUUUAAAAGAAUCAACAAAAUUGAUAGAUCACUAAGUAGAUUAAGAAAAAAGACAGAAGAUCCAAAUAAGCACAAUUAGAAAUGACCAAGGUUACACUGCAACCAAUCCCACAGAAAUACAAAAGAUCCUCAGAGACUAUUAUAAACACUUCUAUGCACAAAAACUAGAAAACCUAGAGGAUAUGGAUACAUUCCUGGAAACACAUGAUCUCCCAAGACCGAGUCAGAAAGAAAUCGAAACCCUGGACAGGCCAAAAUCAAGUUCAGAAUUUCAAUCAGUAAUAAAAAAAUCUACUAACCAAAAAGAGUCCUGGACCAGAUGAAUUCACAGUCAAAUUCUACCGGAUGUACAAGAAGAGUUGGUACCUAUUCUUCUGAAACUAUUCCAAAAAGUAGAGGUGGAGGGCUUCCUCCCUAACUCAUUCUACAAAGGCACAAUCACUCUCAAUUCAAAAUCUGGCAAAGACAUAACAAAACAAAACAAAAAUGGAAACUACAGGCUAAUUCACAAAAUGCUAGCUAACCAAAUCCAGAAACACAUCAAAAAGUUAAUUCACCAUGAUCAAGUAGACCUUAUUCCUGGGAUGCAGGCCCAGUUAAACCACACAAAUCAAUAAAUGUGAUUCACCACCUAAACGGAAUUAAAAGCAAAAGCUAAAAGCUGUAUGAUUAUCUCAAUAGAUGCAGAAAAAGCUUUUCCUAAAAUCCAACAUCCCUUUGGCCGGGCGCGGUGGCUCAUGUCUGUAAUCCCAGCACUUUGGGAGGCCGAGGCGGGAGGAUCAUGAGGUCAGGAGAUCGAGACCAUCCUGGCGAACAUGGUGAAAUUCCAUCUCUACUAAAAAUACAAAAAAAAAAAAAUUAGCCAGGUGUGGUGGCAGGCGCCUGUAGUCCUAGCUACUAGGGAGGCUGAGGCAGGAGAAUGGCAUGAACCCGGGGGGUGGAGCUUGCAGUGAGCCAAGAUCGCGCCACUGCACUCCAGCCUGG